This 705-nucleotide ribosomal RNA is filed under the name Triticum aestivum (bread wheat). Its description in RNAcentral is "partial small subunit ribosomal RNA". The record is from RNAcentral. Lineage: Eukaryota; Viridiplantae; Streptophyta; Magnoliopsida; Poales; Poaceae.
ACCUGCUUCUCUAACAUCAUUAGAGACCACUCCCUCGACUAUAUGGGCAUCCUAGAAACGAAGAAGGAAAGCUUUACUCCUAAAUACCUUAGGAAGAUUGACCCCUAUGAGAGACUUAGUUGGAAUUGGAUCCCCUCCACAGGUAAAUUGGGUGAAAUUCUCUAUGGGAUCAAGAAGGAAACCUUAGAGAUUGUUUCUUGGACGGCAGGUAGAUAUCUGCAGCAGGCCACAAUUUUUGAUAUUAGGCUCAAGUGUGUCUGGACCCUGGUGGUGGUUUAUGGGGCAUCACAUGAUGAUAAGAGGUAUGAGUUCCUUGAGGAAUUAACCUUGAUGUGUGGCAGUAUUAGAACCCCUUAUGUGGUUGGUGGUGAUUUCAACAUCCUAUGGGAGAGUAGUGAUAAAAACAAGUGCCUCCAUCGCUCCCAACACAUGCAUAUAUUCAACUCUAUCAUUCAGUCUUUGAACCUUAGAGAGAUCCAUAUGGGAGGAGGUAGAUUUACCUGGACUAAUAAACAGAGACACCCCACGCUCGAGAAGCUCGAUAGAGUACUCAUGAGCUUUGAUUGGGAAGAUCUAUUCCCACUAGUUGCAGUGCGCAAGCUAGUGAGAGAUGUCUUGGAUCAUAAUCCUUUGUUGUUGACAACAAAUCCCAUGAAAAAAAUACCCUUCGCCAGCGUGAAUUCAGGUUCGAACUUAGCUGGUUAA